CACAACUGUAAUUUGCCAUGAGGGCAUUUUAUGUAAAUUAAAUUUAUUGUGUUUAUAUACGUAAUAUUACGUAUUGAUGAUGAAUGAAGGGUUGAUAAAACGUUAAGUUGCUUCCAAGUAACUUGCAAAGUUUUUAUUCAGCAAGCUAUUUCGAGAAAGCCAGCGAUACCCAGAAGUUGUCGAUUUGGAAGAUGGUUUGUGUCUCCGUGUCAUUAACAGUAUUAGCAAUUGCUUCGCUCUUCGCUUGCCUACCCUCUUUCCGUAAGGCUAUCACAACUUUCCAAUCAAAACAAUUCCUCAAGUGUUUGAAGAAGACAAGGAGAUAAUGUCCUGCAUUUCGUUUUUGACAUUCAUUUUAACCGUCAGUUGUCUCACCUGUGUCCCCGUAGUUAUCCGCAAAUGCUUCACGAAGCAAGAUAAACUUCCUUCGAAAUUAUCAACAUGUAAGAGCCAAUGCUGCCCUCUCAAAAGAGAGGCUUCCCUUAAAGCAAAUAAAAAUAAAUAGUAAAAUAGUAGUGUUAUUCUAUAAUUAUACUACAUACAGGAAAAAUUACAUUUACACGAUAUCUAAAUCGAGAUCAAUCCGAUAAGUCGAGCAAAUUGGUUUUUGGAAUUCGAACUAUGGGACGUGGGAAGAGUUCCUAUUUAAAUGAAAAAAAUAUCUGGACUUAUCAGGUUAAACCGCUCACCCCUCUAAAUAUUCUAAGUAGGUAAGAUUAAUCAUGGUUGAAGUUCGAAACAUUAUGACUUUCUGAAUAGUUCAGGUGGCAUUUUUUUGAAUUUGACUACAGACAACUGCAGGUUAUGUGCGAAACUAGUAGAUUGUGUCACAAGGGAGCAAAAUGUCAAGUUUGAGCAUUUUCAUUCCAACUUGUACCUACUUUAACCCUUUUCCAGGCAUAGUACGAUUUAUCGACCACAUAGGCCCCAUUAAAAUUUCAACUUUAGCAUUCUGAUUUAAGGUUAAUAUUAAAUAACACUUUCAGGAAAUGUUAGGUACUUGUCUUCAAAUGAAUCAUCAAAGCUGGAUUAAUUGGAAUAUAAUUGGAUUUUUUGGGAAAACCUUGUAGAUUGGUGCGGCCUGGAAAAGGGUUGAAGCGCGACUUAAGUCGUGUUUAAGUAAAGUCUAACCGUCACAUUCCUGACCAAAUAUAUGGGGAUUGAUAUUGACCGUCAGUUUUGUAACGAUUGCUAACCGGCCGUUAAUGGUACACAGGUGACAAUGCCCAUUUACGGCGAGAGCGAACAUUUAAGCGUAGUGAGGGAUUCAAAUUUUAACGCCCAAGGUGGAAAUAAUUUUGCUGCCAUGUGACACAUAGUUUUACAUCACCUAUGAGGAAAUUAUUAUUUCUUAAAAUAUUAUAAUGUAACGUAAUUGAUUAUAAAGAAAUUGUAAUGUACAUACUACAUAUUUUCAUAUUCCAUUGUGUUAACACACUGGCAUUGAAAUGUCCUAGAACAAACUACUACCUGCCUUAAAAACUCUUGAUGUGAAUAUAACAGCAAACGCUAACUAACAUAGAAAAGUUUAAAAAAAGAAGGCAAACGUUCACGAACAUAUGUAGAGAUCAAUAAAUUUAAGAUUGAGCAGCGAUAUUACGGGGCUUAGCGACAUAAAGUGACGUGUGACAAUCGUGUAUACAUAGAUAACGCCAAACUUUAUUUAAAUAAUGUAUAAAAAUAUUAGAAAUAAUCAAGUGACUUUUUGUUCUUACCUCAAUACAUUUUUACUUUUCGAUUGGCGUCUGUCGAUAAGCAUUAGUCAUGCUGGUAAUGUUCCGGUAGACCUGGUACGUUUAAAAUAAUAGCCAUCAACAAUCUUUAACGAGUCUCAGGAGGUGUGCAUUGUUUUUUGCUCUGUUUCAGUUUUUGCUUGUAGCUCGAAAACGGUACAGUCACGUCUGAAAAUAUCUAAAAAUAUACGAAAAAGGUGCCAAAAUUAUGUAUACACUACCUUAAUACAUGGGCAAUAAAGUCGUGUAUACAUAUUUUAGUCACUUUUUUCGUACCGAUAUUUUCAGACGUGACCGUACGUCCGACGGAAAUUUUGCUCUAAUAAUGAUGAAAAUUGAUAUCUUAGCAUCCUAAAAGUUGAUAUGAAUUCGUAGUCAAAGUUAGCAUAAUAAAUAAAUAAAAUAAUAAAUAUUAUAUGGCAUUAUUACACAAAUUGACUAAGUCCCACAGUAAGCUCAUUAAGGCUUGUGUUGUGCUCCAAAACUAAGCAAACUCAGGAACAAAAUAUAUCUGUGUUCAUCACACAAAUGGAUGCCUUUACCAGGGUUUGAACCCGGGAUCAUCGGCUUUAUAGGUAGGGACACUAAGUAGUAAGUACCCAACCGACCAGGCCGGUCGUCAAAGUUGUAAUAAAUGGCCGUCUUUUUGAGUUUCUUUAUUUUUGGAAUGUUCAUGUUAAAAACCGAAAACGCCUAUUCACCAAUGCCUGAUCCACCAAACCUUGCUGGUAGUGCCAUUGUAAUUGAUUGUAUGGUAAGUAUAUAUACAUCGACUACAAAAAUAAAUGUGACGCGUGCUCUGCUGGUAAAAACGGCCCAUACAAAAAGCCCGGGGCCAAUGACGUUACAGGCCCGACAGACUGCGCCAGAUAGUAUGGAAGACAUCGUGAUAAAUAGGAUUUUCGUUACUUUCUCCGUAUAGCCUCUUAAGGCCCAGCCAUAGAAAUGAAAAAUCCAAAAUUUGCCACUGGAAUUUGAACCUAUAGUGCACGGAAUACAGUUGAUUUUAUUUUGUUUGAAAAUUGCACGAAACAAAACAAAUGCAACUCUGUCCUAAUUGAAUAUGAUUUAAAUUUCAUCGAACUGAAUAAGUCCUAUAGGUAGGACCUUGGGCCUUACGAGGAUAUAAUGCGUUUAAGCAAAGAGAAUUUGAAAUAGAGGUGGAUUGUCAAAGAAAAUUUUGUAGCCACAGUAAAUAUACUGCCAUCUUUCGAUACAUGAUUAAAACUUUUCACCAAACGCCAUUAGCUUUGAUCCUUUCCUUAUUCUUUCACUGAUGUGUUAAAGUUGUUAAAUACCAAAAAGUUGCGCCAUCUUACCGGGCAUCGGCCAAAGGUUGUGGCGCCAUCGCGCCUUAGUGUGGCCUUUGAUCUAUUAUUAGAUUCAAAUUCUCUUUGGUUUAAGUAUAAAUUGUCAUACAUUUUUUUAUCAUUAAAAGAUAAGGAAUCUAAUAAAUGUGUUUAAUAUAUGUAUAUUUCAAGAAAAAAUCCUAUGCUAACAUUUUACGUUUUUAAGCUCAAAUAUAAAUAAUUGUGGGUUACACAAUUUUGCAUUAAUCUGGUAUUGAUAAACGUGUUUAAUGAACAAUCAUAUAUUAUGAUUGUUCAUUAAACACGUUCAUAAUAAAAUAUUUUUUAUGUACGCCCAUUGCUCAAAUCCCCUUACCGACUUAAGAUUGGCGGUAAUAGUAGUAUAUUUUUAAAUACCAAUCUAAAUUUCAGCUAACGCUCACCUCCCAUACAAAAAAUAAAUUAAGAUCGGUGAACCCUUGCGACGCCAUGUUACCGUAGAGAGACAAGAAUAUGGCAUCCUUGGAUUGCGUCAGCAUACUUCAAAAAAAAAAUGUUUUCAUUAUUGAGUUGGUUUAAUAGGGCUACAAUGUGGCAUAUCAUAACACUUAAUGGCUUGCAGUAGGAGAUCAAGGCAGAGAAAAAGUGUUCUUGCGUCGUGUCCCAAUAAGUUAUGUGAACGACCGGCAGGAAAUUAAAUUCACAAGUUUUUACGUGCUACUCUGAUACUAUGUAUGAACAUUUCUCUAAACAGAUGCCACUUUUUUACUUGUGUAAUUUUCUGUUUUUAUUGUUCCUACUCAGAAUCAGGGGCCCAACACAGGAAAAGUGUCACAAAAGUUUCCAUACAUUAUUUGUACUUUCUUUUGUGUUACCACGAUAAAAGCAUAUGAAAUUGUGGUAUUCAAAGCUCGUGAAUCUGAAUAUAUUAUUUCUACUCCUUAACUUACAGACAAUUCACCAAUUAAUAAAAGAUAUAAAAUUGGUUCAGGAACCGUGAGCAGUAUCAGCCAUGCGCAUUAAGUAAAUUAUAUACAAUUAUUUUAUUAGUGAGUUUUCAUUUAUUUACUAUACACCCUACAAUUAGAAUAGUUCCGUAAUAUAUCAAUACAAUUUGUUUUAUCCAUCAAUGACAAGCAUAGAGUUACAAUAAUAUAGAGAUGAAAUGGGGGAGGGGAGGGAAAAGGCUAUGUUUGUUUGCCUCGCUUUUUUUAUUCCCCGCCGUAAAUUUAUGGUGGGUAAUAAAUAACCCGACCAAAUUACGUACGAAUAGGUCGUUUUUGGUAUGUUGUCAGGAAUGUUAAAACGUGUUUUUAAUUUUGUCGUAUUGAGUAUGGUCUGUCCCUUACGGGCGCACGCGUCUAGCUCAUCUGUAGGAUUCUACCAUCUAUGGUGACAAAUGACAAGUGUCCAAUUGAAUGUCAUCAUUAUGGAGUGUGGAAUUAAAAGGAGUGAAAUCUCUUAUGGUAGAACUGCAAAAGUGUCCGGCUGUCAGCUAUAAAUAAUAGUUCCAAAUAUCUCCAGAGUAGCGCUAGAGUAGUUAAGAACAUAGGCGUUAUUGACGGAGUGACGUGCGCUGUCUAUGAUUUGAUUUUUUUUCAAGCAUUCUAGGUAUUGUAGCGCCACCUAUUUAAGGUUUUUUGAUGUCACUUUUUGGUACAUGGAGAUUCCAUUCCUUACCUCCACCUUCCAUAGUCAUUAUCUCCAGUCUGGUUACUUCUGAAAAAUCGUAUCUCGCUCAAGUGUAACUCUUUUCAUUAUUACGAAGUCCUCUCUUAAUCGUUAAAGAGGUUUUGGCUGUACUUAAUUAUAUGUUGUAAGGUGACGAUGAUAUAAAUGAGUUAAAUUUAUAUUUAGGUAACAAAAAAGGAAAAAAUAGGAAAUGUGAUGGUUUUACUUAAAUAUGAUGGUGAACGAUUUAUUAAAAUUUACUAAGUGUGUAGGGUUCAGCCUCAAGAAUAAUAAAUUCCCAUUUGCGAGUUCCUGUAAUUGGCUCUGUAUUAGUAUCUAAAACGUUUAAUGUAUUUUUUAUAGCUGUUGGAAUUCCUUGUAUAAAUAAAUAAAUAAAUAAAAUCAGCCUGUAUAUUUAUAAUUUGAAAAUGUUGAAAUCCCCAACUUUUUAAAAUCCAUUAAAGCCACUUUCUAUGGGUUACCUACUUGUGUGGAAUUAACGUAAUAGAAAACCGAAAAUGGUAGGAAAAUAAAGGACACCUUUUCUCCUAGCAGUGCUCGUGAUUCUGAGUAAGAAUAACCAUUGGGUAUCAUAAGAACAUAUGAACCAAAGAGCAUAUAAUCACUACGUUUUAAGAGACGGGACUUCCAUACUAGCGAGUGGAAUCCGUUUGUUUCGCAAAUCAUUACCAAAAUGUACGACAAAGAACUGUCAAAGAACCAUAGUACCAACAUAAGCAAUUUAAAUAGUGUAGUACGCUACACGCUUGCGUUUCUUAUCGAUAUCGAUAAAAUGGGGAGGGUUGAAAUAUAGACUCUUGUCUACAAAUUUUGUACUCGAAAUCAAGUUAGGAUCGAGUCCACAUUUAAGUUGUAUGUUAUAUAGUGGAUAGUUCUAUGAGUGGACUAAUACGUAGUCGAGCUUAAUGUGGACCCGAUUUUUUUUUAUAAAACCUUGUUGUUCUUCACCACUAGGAAGGAUCAAAGUAGCACUUUUCUUCCCUACUAGGAGGGAUCACUUUUUUUUCCUCUUUUUGCAUACUUCUUAGGUUAAAUUAUUUAAUUUAAUUACCAUUAAUUAAAUUUAUUUAAUUUAUUUAUUUUUUAUUUGUACUAUAAUAAUUUCCUCAUAGGUGAUGUGAAAAGCAGUAUGUAAAUUUAUCACCUGGUAGCAAAAAUAUUUCCAAUUGGCUCGCUUGCCACAUAUUUCACACUUAGUAAACCGUUUUCUCGGUGGCAUUGUAACAAACUCGUUCUUUACUCUGAUCACGGUUCACUAUUCGAUAUAUAUCGAUUCGAUUCGAUUCGAUAUUUUCAUUAAAUAAUAAAUAAAAUAAUAAAGAAAUUGGACGAAAUACCCGAACAAAACAUUGAAGCCUUCAUAACACACAAAACAAUUAGGCUGACAGUUGACUUGAUGUAAACUUGACAGAAUAAAUAGCACUGACGUUUUAUUUUUCUUCGUUGGCAAAGAUUUGCGAAACAAGUUCCAUACAAAACUUAUUUUGUUCCUAGUUGCGUCAGCCUGAUAUGAACUUACGACAAUAAAAACUCCAAGAGCUUGCCUCAUAGAGUAAUUGGGUAUUUUUUUGUUCAAUCAAUCACAUGUCAGAUUUGUGAAAAGGCGUAAAUUUUAUUACGGCAACUGUAUGAAAAUGACAUGGGGAAGAACAGCACCACCUUUCAGCCUGGCAAUGUCGGGUUUCUUGAAGCCUAUUAACACCACUAAUGUAUAAUGUAUGCUAUUAGUAUGCAUGGUUACGACACUGUUCUGCCUUCACUUCGUGUUAUUGUUCCACAAAAGAGUUUCCUAAAUUAGUCAUAGGUGCUAAUUAUGGAGGUUAUUUGACGAAAAUCUGCAUUAUAAGAUGGGUUCAGUCCACUGUGCAUGGAUUAAUCCCAUGAUAGGUAUAGUUCAUAAGUUAUGAUAUAGAAUCACUCACACUCGAGUUAUUAGGGCGAAAUUUGGAGCAGCUUCAAAAAAUACUAUUUGGGCUUCUGUUAUUACCAAUAAGCUUACGUCUAUCUCAUAAUGCGGCUCUGUUCCAUAAUGACCAUGACUAAAAAACUCUUCCGUAAUCUGCUAUCUUUGAUGUUUGGUGACAAAAAGAAAAAGGAAAAUUCAAAAUUAGAACUAUCACUUCAAUGUUAUUCACGAUCCGUCAACUUUUGUAUUGAAAAUUCGCUGUCUAAUAUAAUAAUGUCAUGAAAUUAUAGUAAAACGUGCUUUGAUCGCAAGACUAUCCACAGCGAUCAACACUAAGUAAGCGCGUCUUUGGGAAGAAUCCUUAUGCAGUUACUCAUGUCACACUAUUACCCAGGAGCUGCAUGAUUUGCCUGUCACUACUUACGGUGAUUGGGGCUACUGCGUUCAUCCUGUGCGUGCCGUUAUACACUAGGGGCCUACUCCAGCGCAAGUGCUCGUGCUCGGCUGUUCCGAUUUGUCCUGACUGCGGCAUGCCUUACUAAAAACCCAGACGCGCUUACUACAAACGUUCAAAUGCUCUGUAUUACGUACGCGACCGCAGUCGCGGCCGCGGUUAUUGUAGCUUGUGGUCCGGUCGUUUGUGAUAGACUUAUGAAAUGUUUUUUUCCAAGCGGAGGUAAAUCUAAAUAGACUUGUGUCAUAAGUAAUUUAAUAAAAAAAACCGUGAAUACAUGCAUUUUUAAUAGUACAAUAUCCUUGUUAAUAAGACACUUCAGUUUGUUGAGCUAUACACAUCAAAAUUUUACAACGGAAAUCUGCGUUUUUAUAUCCUUGCGAAAAUGCUAGAAAGCCUGUUUUGGAUAUUCAAUGACUUAUCUUAAAAUUUUAACCAUGUUACCAAAACUCUGCUUCCUAGCGUUUCAAUACAGAAAGAUAACAAGAGUAGCCUUUUAGGCGACAAUCUGUGGGUUAUUCUUACUAGUUAGCGCCAAAUUGUUACUAGUGUUAACUACUGGUUUUUUUUUUUCACUUUUACCAGUGGUAACUAAACACUUGUCAAAGGUGGGAAAAAUAUGUUGAUGGUAACAACUUGGUGGUAACUAGUGGGAAUAAUCCUAAUCUGUUAACGUUUUUGUAGGUCGGUCGCUGCAGCAUGCAGCUGCAUACCUAUUAUUUAUGACGUCAUUUUUGUAGUUUAAACAACAAAAGUUAUGACCUAUUUCAAAUUGAUGACAAAUUGUAGGAAAAAUAAGUAUUAACCCUUUCCAGGCUGCACUAAUAUACAAAGUUUUCCCCAAAAAUCGAAAUAUAUUCCAAAUAACCCAGCUUUGUUGAUUCAUAUGAAUGCAGCUCACAUUACCACAAAGUGCAAUUUAAUUUGAACCUUAAGACGAAAGUGGAGCACCCGCGCAAAAUCGCCUUUUCAUACAAACGUAGUCCUUGAUUGCCUCUCUGGAUAUUACGAUUAUUGAAAAUAUUUUGAUGUCAUAUAUCAACCACAGCUAGCCCCUACAUCGAUUUUUUUAUUUAUGGAAUCUGUUUUUCACACAUAUAAAUUUUUACAAUAAUCAUAAAAUCGAAAUUAGUCAAACGUAGAGGCAUAGUAAUGGUUAAUAUAUAUCAAAUUAUGUAAAAAUAUUUUCCAUAAUAUCCAAAUCCAGAGAGGAAAAUGGGGACUACUUUUGCAUGGAGCAACAGUAGCAACAACAAAUUAUACACCUAAACCUUCUUCACUCUAUUGAUUGAUGAAAACCGCAUGAAAAUCCGUUCAGUAGUUUCUGAGUUUAUCGCGAACAUACAUAUACACAGACAGACGCGGUCAGGACUUUGUUUUAUAAGGUGUGGUGAUUCUAACCACUGUUUUGUCAUGUGCAUGAAACCAACAUCUAAGUAUAAGAGAACUAUGUACCGGUUAUUAGAUUUAGAAAUAAAAUGAUGAAACUAC
Long non-coding RNA from Cydia pomonella (codling moth), 8565 nucleotides. RefSeq lists it as uncharacterized. The transcript has 3 exons. NCBI's taxonomy places the organism in Eukaryota, Metazoa, Arthropoda, Insecta, Lepidoptera, Tortricidae. The record is from RefSeq and is a predicted model, not a curated record.